Long non-coding RNA from Pygocentrus nattereri (red-bellied piranha), 1933 nucleotides. RefSeq lists it as uncharacterized. The record is from RefSeq and is a predicted model, not a curated record. The transcript has 2 exons. Lineage: Eukaryota; Metazoa; Chordata; Actinopteri; Characiformes; Serrasalmidae.
UGUGGCUGUGAAACGCAGGAGGGACAUUCCUGAGUUGACAACCCAUCCCCCACCUGCAGACUAACUCCUUAAUGUAGUGAUUGUGCUGGGACACUCAAGGGCGGGGUUACACAAACACUGCCAGUCAGGGCUCAAACCAAACGCGAGUUUCACCUCGACAGCCACUUCAUCUGCUCAGGUGUGCGACAUUACGCUUCCAAAAAAGGAAGAACAGCUCUUGUACAGCUCACUGGAGACCCAACACACCUGCUCUGGGGCCUGAUGAUACACAACCACCAUUUCUCUCCACAGAACAUACGUUCAUCGGUGUCAAGCCAAUCAGGAACAUCGUGUCAACCUUACUGUUGAUGGUACAGCUUCAUGCCUAAUCUUCUUCUGUGCUAAGCCAUAGAAGGUUACCCUUAGUUAGCCUUGGACUGACAAAGUUUGACACCAUGAAUCUUUCUUUGGACAACCCUUAUGGCAAUGUCACCAUUCCCCGUGCUAAGCUACGUGAAUAUGGAGACUCCAGCAUGGUCAUCAUCAACCCAAUGACCCUGGAAAGCUCUUACAAUGGUAGCUCUGCUCAAAACCCUUAUGGGAGCUUCAAACCCCAAGGAGAGGAGAGUUCAGCUGGUGUGCCUGUCUACGGAGAGGUGAGAGAUAACAAUCAGCGUCCACCUCCAUAUAACAGCCAGGGCACCUACACGGUGAAGGAGGAUGAAGAGCAAGUGGGCCGCUGCUAUUCCUGCUGCUGUCGCUGCCGGAGGAAGAUGUGAGAGCCAGCCUCCCCCGUGGAGCGAAAGACCCUGGAUUUACAAUUUCGGAGAGAAAGGAACUGAAUGGGCUAAGUUUUCUAGAGCAACUCCAUGCAGUGGUUCUAAUAUCUGAACAUUUGACAGCCAAGAAGAUUUUCCAGAAAUCCCAUUUAUUAAACAGACUGGACACCUUCUCAGUGGUAACCUGUGGACACUUGUCCACCACAAACUAAAUUCAACACACUGCCUGCUCCUUUGCCCUUAUUGAAGUCAUUGCAUAAUUACAAAUGGAUUAGCUUUGCAAACAGUGUUUCUACUGUACUACAUAUUUGAGAGAGAUGGCCUUUGCACUGAAGUACUUGAUCGCUCUUGUCCAACUGCUUUGUGCCUGGUACAGUGUACUCUGGUAUUGUGUAAGUGAUGACAAAGUUUGGCAUCUGUGAUGUCUAGAAACUAUGAUUGUUUUCGUUUGUUUUGGUGCCAUGCAGUCAUCCUGCUUUCUUGCACAGUUUCAACAUGCUUGACUCAAGGCAGUAUUUCCAUUCAAACACCUUCCUAGUUCAGGUUUGUUAGGUAUGUGAGAUGGCAUUUGGUUGAGGCCACUGUUCAACUUUUAGGUCUCUGGAUCGUUGUAGUCUUUUGUACAGGGUGAGGUUGUAAGUUUCAGGUCGACCACACCCUACAAAUCUGCCUUACACAGAGCAGGCUGGGGAGCCAGAACAAGAGCACAUUCUUUCUUUCUGAAAGGCACUUCACUUUAAUUCGUUUCAACGGAGCUCACAGGCUCACUCUCCUCGACAAAGCUUUGUCAGUUAUGCAUAAGAAUGGCUCAGUCUAUGGACAGACAAAUCUGCAAUACCUUUCAAUACACUCUUGUAUUUUGCACACAUCACCACAGGAAAUGGACGUUAGCCCUACUAUGCUGUCUAGUACUAUAAAGCAACUGCAGCAUCUGGUAACAAGGAAGACCAAAGGCAAAUAUUUUGAAUUGCACCUGGACAUCCACUGUCAUAUGUGGUGGCAUCUUACUUAUUGGAAAUAGAUACAUUAGAAAUAUGCUAGUAGUAAAGUAGUAGUGAAAAUAUUUUUAAGAAAAUCUUUCACCAACCUGAAGGACACUGCUACAGAGGAAAAAAAACUAGACUACAUUAUCAGUCUAGAUACACAAAACCAAUUAAAAUGUUUGAAUAUCUUGA